CUGGUCUUGACAUAGUAAGAACUUUCCAGAGAUGGAUUGGUGCCUUCGGGAACCGUGAGACAGGUGCUGCAUGGCUGUCGUCAGCUCGUGUUGUGAAAUGUUGGGUUAAGUCCCGCAACGAGCGCAACCCUUGUCAUUAGUUGCUACGCAAGAGCACUCUAGAGAGACUGCCGGUGACAAACCGGAGGAAGGUGGGGAUGACGCCAAGUCCUCAUGGCCCUUAUGGGUAGGGCUUCACACGUCAUACAAUGGUGCGUACAGAGGGUUGCCAACCCGCGAGGGGGAGCUAAUCCCAGAAAACGCAUCGUAGUCCGGAUCGUAGUCUGCAACUCGACUACGUGAAGCUGGAAUCGCUAGUAAUCGCGGAUCAGCAUGCCGCGGUGAAUACGUUCCC
RNAcentral lists this ribosomal RNA (394 nucleotides) under uncultured bacterium. Its description in RNAcentral is "bacterial SSU rRNA". It matches the Rfam family "Bacterial small subunit ribosomal RNA", at positions 975 to 1375 of the family's 1533-position model. The record is from RNAcentral.